GAUGGGAAACAGGUUAAUAUUCCUGUACUUGGUGUUACUGCGAAGGGGGGACGGAGAAGGCUAGGCUAGCCGGGCGACGGUUGUCCCGGUUUAAGCGUGUAGGGGGUGUGACCUGGUAAAUCCGGUUACAUACUAACCCUGAGGCGUGAUGACGAUGCACUACGGUGCAGAAGUAGUUGAUGCCCUGCUUCCAGGAAAAGCCUCUAAGCAUCAGGUAACAUUGAAUCGUACCCCAAACCGACACAGGUGGUCAGG
Molecule: ribosomal RNA, 255 nt
Filed under: Serratia marcescens
Lineage: Bacteria; Pseudomonadati; Pseudomonadota; Gammaproteobacteria; Enterobacterales; Yersiniaceae
Description: partial 23S ribosomal RNA
Rfam family: Bacterial large subunit ribosomal RNA
Source: RNAcentral